UCCUCCUCCUGUUCCACCUUCAUCCUGAUCCAUCUUCACCCUGCCUCAUCUUCAUCUUGCCCCAUCCUCAUUCUCCCCCACCUUCAUCCUGCUCCAUCCUUACCCUGCUCCAUCCUCACCCUGCUCCAUCCUCAUCCCUCACCUCUUUGGCACAGAAAUCCUCAUUCCCACCUCCUUGUCUCCCUGAGUGCUGCUCAGACAACCCCACAGGUAUUUCUGACACCUUUCCCCUGCAUGGGGUGGAUUCCCUUUUCCUGCUUUUACAGAUGGGGGAUGUAGGCAGGGAGCAAAGGGCUGCCUCAAAGCCAUCCAUUGACCACCACUGGGGGAUGUAGGAAUUGACCCUGGGUCCCUGAAUCUCAGUUUUCUAUCCCAGCCAGGCUGCACUGCUGGGAGAUUUAUCACCUUAAACAAUUCCUUUUUUUUCCUAUUUCAAAUGGCUGGUCAGGGAAAACCAAAGGGGGAAAAUGGAAACUUUAAUUUCUGGAUGAAAAGUUACCAUUUUGUUUGUAUGAACCCCCUGACUCUGUUCUCCACUGAAUAUCUCCAAUCCACUAGAAGUGCUUGGGUGUUGAUUUUAGAAAGCUGAUGGGUGUUUUUGGAAAUAAUCCCUUUUAAGGGAAAGCUGUUUACCCAGAUAACCACCAUCCCUCUCCCUGCUGAAGCAGCAGCUGUUGUGGGAGACAGCUGAAAUGCAAACAGGCUCCUGCUCCAUCCAUCACCCAGGCACGGGCCAGGCAGAGCUACUUCACUUAAAGGACAACGCUUGCAUCAGAGGAGCCGGGCCACAAAUCAAUUCCCACUGGAAGGCAGGAGAAGCUUUGAACUGGAGCAGAGGUUUCCUGGAAUGAUCUUCUGGUGGGACGAGGGGACAAGAGCUGAAGCAGCAAUGCCAAGAAAACUCAGCCAAGCUCUGCCCAGCAUCUCCUGACACAGCACCACGGGCUCAACACCAAUUCCCAUCUCCCCAAAAUGCCUCGAUUUGGAUUUGAGGAGGCAGAAGCAGCAACUCCGCUGAACGCAAGAGGCAACCCAGGAAUUAAUGGAAAAAAAAAAAAGAGCAAUAUUGUUUCUCUUUGGAGCGUGUAACAGGUUGUCAUGGGGAAGGCGUGUGGGCUUUCCCGCGAAGGGAGCAGCGCUGCCGACCUUUGGAGAGCGUUUGCUCAGAGCCAGCCGCUGCUUCCAGCACAUCCCUGGGCUCUGGGAAUGCUCAGCCCAGUGCCCCCUCCUGCUGCAAACCCUCAUCUCCCUGCCUCGAACCCCUAACGUGCCAUCCUGUAAUGGAAUAUACCUCUGCAUGGCUUUAAAUUAAAUUGGAAAUCGAGGUUAGAUCUGAGGUAAGCAUUUUUUAUUGCCCAGAAAGGUGUUGGAUGCUCCAUCCUUGAAAUUUUUUUAUUGCCCAGAGAGAUGGCGAAUACUCCAUCCUUGAAAUUUUUUUAUUGCCCAGAGAGGUGGUGGAUGGUCCCUUCCUGAAAUUUUUUUAUUGCCCAGAGAGGUGGUGGAUGCUCCAUCCUUGAAAAUAUUCAAGGCCGAAAUCGAGAUUAGAUCUAAGGAAAGCAUUUUUUUUUUAUUGCCCAGACAGGCUGUGGAUGCUCCAUCCCUAAAAAUAUUCAAGGCCAUGUUGGAUAGGGCUCUAGCAACCUGGUCUUGGUGAAGAUGUCUCUGCUCAGUGCUGGAGGGUUGGCCUUGAGCACCUUUUUAGAUCCCUUCCAACCCAAACUGCUCUGUGCUUCUCAAGAGCUUGGCAUUGCACAAAAGUCAGGGAGUCCCUGGGAAGAUGUCUAAAAAGCAGCUGGAAUUAGCCCCAAAUCAAAUCUAUCACACAAUCCCCAAACCUGCCUGAGCUGGAGCACCACAGCCACACCUGAGUUACAGCACCUGUAGCUGUACCUGGAUAAACACAGCUGCUCAUGUUUCCCUCCCAGUUUUUGGCAGUGAUCCAUCCAAUAAUUUCAGGGAUUCAUCUAACUUUUUCCUUCCUAUUCCAGGAAAAGUGCAGGAGAUAAAGAUUUACACCCUGCCUCCAUCCAGAGCUUGGAGAUACCGAGGUGGGAUGUGAUGUUUAGACCUGGGACCACACCAAUUAACCACACCAAUUAGCAGCAGGUGACAACUGAGUGCAGGCAAACCACGAUGCCCAACAACCCCAAAAUCAGCUGGGGGAGGAGGACAUGGAACUGUCCUGUCCAGGGAACCCAGCCCAUUCCCAAUGCUGCCUGCUGGUCUCCAGAAAAGCAGAAAUUCCCCAAAUAUGGGGAAGCCAUAAGUGGAGCCAUCCCUGGGACAGGGGCACCUCAGGAGGGGACAGGGACUCUCCUGGAUGCUCCCAGCACGGGGCUGGGCUGGUUUUGCAGGCUGAGGCGGGAGGUCUGCCUGCAAUCACAUCUCCCACCCCUUUUGCAGGCUGCUGCGUCUGUGCUGUGUGCUGGAAGCAGCUUAAAGAGCUUUUGAUAGCAUUGCUGGGAGAAAAUGAACCUGUUAAUACUGCUAUUUGCUGCGCAAAGGAUGCACGCCCAGAACACUUUCUCGCAGCAAUGAUCAUUUUUAGCUGUGAGAAUGAAUUAGCCCUUCCACUGCAAAGCUAUUUGCAUCGCAGAGAGGUCAUGGAGGAGCAGCAAAGUGAUUAUUUGGGGGCUGGGCUUGCAUGUCUUCUCCAAGGCAAGGAGACCUUUCUAAGGCAAGAGUCGGCAUCUGAUCCCAACGGGACAGGAAUCCAGGACAGAUAUUCCCAAAUCCUGAUCUAGAAUCCAAAGCCAGCUCCUCCAGGCUUGCCAUGAUGAAAUGCAGAGCUUCCCUGGCUGGCUCUGCUUUUCCCCACCGAGUGGUAAACAAACUCUUCUCACUCCCACCAUUUAUUCCCUUCUCCACCUUCCCGUGUUCCCAAUUAUCUUAAGGAGAUUGAUAAACCCAGCACUGCUGCUCUGGUUACAGGUCACUUCCCCCUGCAGUGAGGAGUGCAGGAAUCAAUAGCCAGAAAUAGUGGCUGGGAAUCAAACUCCCUGAGCAGAACUGGGAGGGAGGAGGAGGAGGAGGAGGAGGAGGAAGAGGAGGAGGAGGAGGUUUCAUUCCUUGCCCUGGAGGAGCAGGAUAUGGAGCUGAGGGGAGAAAAGUGAUGCCAGCACUCAGCCACUCAUUUAUCUUUGGGACAGUGCUGGAGAAGCUCAAAGGGAAGGAGGAAUGUUGAGGACUCUGGGAGUGUUUUGGAGGCAGCUUCGCACCAGGAGUAGCUGCAGGCAGGAUUUUAACACUGCCUGUGCAGCCCACAGUGAGAGCUCCUGGUGAUUGAAAACCAGGCUGGCUGCAGCCAAGAAGGAACAGGUGGAAGGAGGACAAAAAGGAAUAAAUUUACUUUGUUUUUAAAGCAGGAAAGGGUCAGCCCUCAGACUGAGUCUGGGAUGGGCCACAGGUUCUGGAUGCAGAGAGAGGGAGGCUCUUUGCUCUCACAGGGUUUGGGGUGAUGGGGUUGGAGCACACCCAUGAGCAGCUCCCAUUGCUCAGCUGAGCAGCUCCAGCACGAGUGGGAACGGCUGCUGGGGAGGCUGAACAGGGGAAAUAACAGUGUUCGUUUUUAUUCCUGCUAGUAAACUAUAAUUAUAAACUAUAAUUUGGAUGUUUAACAAAUGCUGCAGGCUUUUGCAGGCUUGCAGAGUGCCAGGCUUGGCUGUAGCCAGGUAAGGGGUGGACUUUUGGGGAGAGGCACGUUGCUCAAACACUUGUACCCGUUCUGGAGCUGGGAUAAGGGUGUGAAAAUUUCCACAGGGGUAAGAUUUUUCUGAGUUUAAAAAUCUGUCUCAAACCAUCUCCAAAGUGUCUUUUCUUCCUGGUGGGAUGAGGUUAGAAAUGCUGUCUGACUCCACAUCUCAUGGCACUUCUCAAGGAGGGGUGGGAAAUGAAGGAAAUUCUCCUCACCGAGCUGCUGUCCUGUGCUUCCAGAGGACCUGAGAGCUGCAGGACCAUGAAAUGCCAAAUCUCCCUCAGCCUCUCUGCUCUGGAGAGGCUGGUGGACACUCCAAACAGAGGGCAGCUGCCAGGCUGGAGGAGAAAAUCGUCCAACCACUUCCCCACCACACAUCCCCAGCCACUGAGACUCCAGCUGGAGCAGGGCAGGGUUUCACCCGGGGAAGAAUAUUGGAGAAAAAGCCAAGGGAGAUUGGCAGCUUUUGCUUUUCAGAGAUUGCCUUUCCCUCCAACAUCUGCUCCCACACCUGCACCCAGACUGGACUGGGGCUGUGCUGAAGGGCUCCAGGAUUUCCUGCCCAUUGCUGGGGCUGGUGCUGCACUCCAGGGAUGCUCCGGCACCAGGCAAGGGGCAGGAGGGCUCCUCCACCCUGUGCCUGCUCACACACAGGGUUUACAGGACAUCCAACAGGAAUUUAUCCACCACUGCAACAAGAAUUUAUCCACCACAGCAACAGGAAUUUAUCCAUCACAGCAAAGAGAAUUUAUCCGUCACAGCAAAAUGCUCAGAAACACCACGAGCAAAGUGGGGAAAUGCACCCAAAGCACCUCCUGUGCCCCUUGCUCCACAUCAGCAGCUCCUGCCCUCUGGUCUGGACCCUCUAAAUGACUCAGUCUGCCCUUGCUGCUGACCCAGACCCCUUUUCUUCCCCCAAAAUCCCCCUGGCACUGCCUCCAUCUCCCUCCCACACUUGCUCUGCUUGUGGCUGUUUCUGUGGAGCCCCUCUGUGCUUCUCCAGCUCUCAGGGUAUAAAUAUGGUGUGAGAUAAAUAUUGUCAUGGCACAUUACCCUGGUCCUUCCUCACCCAUACACGCUGCAGACAGAGUUAUGCAUCUGUUUAUGUGUGUGUAUAUAUCUAAUUAUACUGUAUAAACUGUAUAUCCACCUCUCUAUUGUGUAUAUUUAAUAGAAACGCCAGCUAAUUGCCCUCAAUAAAUAUAUAUGGGGAUUAACUGUAUUGACAUUAAAUUUACUGGUAAUCUCCUCGAAAAUAAACACCCCAAAUAAAACAAACACAUAAAAUA
This is a long non-coding RNA of Passer domesticus (house sparrow), 4983 nucleotides long. RefSeq lists it as uncharacterized. The transcript has 3 exons. Lineage: Eukaryota; Metazoa; Chordata; Aves; Passeriformes; Passeridae. The record is from RefSeq and is a predicted model, not a curated record.